CCGACGUUAUGUUUAACGCAUAGGAAAGGCAGCGGAAGUCAAUGAAGUUUCUUCCGACACCAAUUUGGUGCUGAUCGCGCGAUACUUCCCGCAAUCCAACCUGUCGCCCUUUUUGUAGAUGGGACACACGAUACCUUCCUCCUCCCAAAUCUUGGUAAUGACCCAGUGUAGUGCUCUCACCAGUGCUUCUCCACCGUAUUUUAGAAGCUCGCAUAAUAUGCACACUCAUUAAAUUUUAAUAAACUUUACUUUCAUUUCUAAAGGCAAUACAUAUAAACAUUUUCGCCAUGACAAGGUGGCACAAUCUUUGUUUUCAAACUGAGACUUCUUUCUUGUCCAAUUCCAGGGUUUCCUCUAUUUAAGAAAAUUCCAUGUGAACUCACAUCAUAUGUUGCAUUUGACGAAUGCUUGCAUGAAAACAUAAAAUUUCCCCCGAGGUUGAAAGCAACUGUUUAAAACAAGUGGUUAAUCCGGUCGAACUAUCAGAUCAAAAAUGCAAGAAGCGUAAAGCGUAGUCUUUAAAGUUUCUAAACUAACUUGUGGAAACGUAAUUACAUUCACUGGAUUGCUAGAAACAUUUUUUUUAAUUACCUAUAUGUUCAAAACUUAGUGUUGAAAUGUCUGCGCAGAAUUAGGACCACAAUUUAAUACCGGUUCCUAAUUCUGCGCACCUAAGAAGAACAAGAAGUUUAAGAAAAGAAGAAGAAAACCCAAUUGUUUUUUGAGGAUUCUGAUUCCUCGAAGACAGCAGUACAGGAUCCUCAUGGAAAAGUAGACAUUAUCUUUAUUACUUAUGUCGCAAAAUGAUCCAGGACAAUGUUUUAGCAACUUCGCUAAGGGACACAGAGCUAAUAUUGCACUAGCGUCCAUAAUUUUGUGGUAUGUUCGAGAAAGUGCGCCGAAUUAGGGACUGCGCAGAAUUAGGGUUGGUCACGUUAUUUCAAAAAACUUACAUUCUCGUACACAAUUCUUGCCAUAGUAACAAACUCCCCAUGUUUUCGCAAUCUAUUCUACUUUACAACUAAUCAAUUGUACCGUUCUGCCUGCAAAUGCAAUUGUUGCAGUGUUGCCAGUUUAAUCGCAAACUCUUCGCAACACGUAGCAUGAAAUCGAACAGGGCCCCAGGGGUCGAUCGCAUGUCAGCUGAGAUGCUCAAAGCUGACCUCGUAGUAUCCACACAACUACUGCAUCAAUUAUUCUGCAACAUAUCAGGCCAAACAUGUCUAAAGGUCCUAUCUGCAGAAGAGAGGCUCUCUUUGGUUUCCCUCUCUUUCGUUAAUAUCUCAGCUGUUUAUUUGUAUUAUCAUUGUCUCCUUGCAUUGACCGAUGGUCAAAACAAUCGUCUUUUGAUUUGUACUGCAAAAAUAGUUGAAAAGUGUACCAUUACAUUGCAAUAAUUGAAAGAGAAAGUGAACAAAGAGAGCCUCUCAAAUGCAGAUAGGACCUAUUGAAAUGUUUGGCCUGAUAUAGGAAACCGCGACAUUUCCGGCCGACUGGAUGCAAGGCGUCUUAGUAAAGGUACCCAAAAAGGGUGACCUGACUGUAUGCGAUGAUUGGCGGGGCAUCGUGUUACUGUGUAUCGUUCUCAAAGUCCUCUGCUAAGUGAUCCUCAAUCGGAUACAGGAGAAGAUUGCGCAACCCUCCGACGGCAGCAAGCAGGAUUCCGUGUCAGACGAUCCUGUGUGAACCGUAUUGUCACGCUCCGUAUCAUUCUGAAGCAAAUCAAUGAAGUCAAAGAAUCUCUCUACCUGGUGUUCAUUGAUUACGAAAAAGCUUUCGACCGUCUCAAUCACGGAAGCAUGUGGGAAGCCCUCAGGCGCAAGGGUCUCCCUGAGAAAAUCAGCGGCCUCAUUGAAGCACAGUACAGGGCAUUUUCGUGCAGAGCACUGCACAACGGUGUUUUGUCCGAUCACAUCCGGGUCGUUGCUGCAGUGAGGCAAGGAUGUAUACUAACACCGCUACCGUUCCUCAUCGACGAGAUCCUGGUAGGUGCGAUUGACCGUGAACCAAAUCGUGGAUUGCUGUGGCAGCCCAUUACCAUGGAGCACCUAAAUGACUUCGAACUGACUGAUGACGUUGCUCUCCUAGCUCAACAGCGCUCUGAUAUACAGAGCAAGCUCAAUGAUCUUCAGCUACAGGUCUUACCAUCAACGUCAGCAAGACCAAAUCGUUGAAUGUAAACACGGUCAACCCUUUCAGCUUUACGGUAGCUGGGUAAUCAGUGGAGAAUGUUGAAAGCUCCAAUAUCUUGAUAGCCAAAUCAGAGCCGUAGCGUGGUCCCAUGGCGCCCUUGGCAAGCAUACAGAUUAACGCCCCACGCCAGUGGUGUUGUGAUGACUCCUGAAUCUGCAUGUCAAACUGAGCCGAAAUCCAAAUUUUCAUGAAUUUUGGUGCCCGGGAACCUAUUUGAAAAUCAAUUCUGGCGUUCGAUUUGAAUAGGUCGAAUCUGCAUAGGAAACACAGCAAACAUACGACGAUAUUCAAAUCGAACGCCAGAAUUUGAAGUUUGAAUGGGAGCGAUUUGUUCAAUCACCCCUUGUCGCAGUUUGUACUGGACGGAGCUGUCAAACAGUUGCCCAGCUGUCAAAAUGUGAUUUCAAAAAAUCUUUUUGAAAUUGGUUUUAGAUACCAACAGUUAUGUAAUUCUUGAGGAGUUUGAAACGACCUUUUCAAUGGUGAAUUAAUCUAUAUUGUUUAUUAAAAUUUAAAUUUGCUUUACCAAAUAAAAUGGCUUCCUCUGAAGUUUAAUCUAAAUGUUUCCCAGAAAAAGUGAAUUUUCAGUAAUUAUUAGACGCACCAUAGACAUGGAAGAAUGCCGGGAAAAAUUCCUGUAGAACUCUCUUUAUAAGUUUUUUGUUGGAAUCUCCAGAAAAAUUCCUGCUGGAAUCACUGAAUGAACUUCUGAAACUCUGGAGGAGUUCCUGCAGGAAUAUUCGGAGGAAUACCUGAUGAACGGAAACCUUUCCGCAAGAUUCCUGGAAAUCCUAAAACAGUCUGUGAAGAAUUGCCUGUAAGAAUUUGUGGAGACCCACUGGAAAUAUUUUUGAAAGAAUUUUUGAAGUAAUUCCUGAUAAAAAAAAACUUAAGGAUUCUUUGGGGAAUAUUCUGAAAAUCCCCACAAGGUUUUACGAAGAAAUACCUGGAGGAAUUUCUGAAGAAAUCUAUGCAAGCCUUAAAAAAAACUUUUGGAGAAAUUUUAGAUGAAAUCAAUGGCGGAUUUUCUAACGGAAUAUCAGGGACAAUUUAUGAAAAAAAAGUCCAAGUUCAUGAUUUUCUGGAAGAGUUUAUGGGAAAACUCAUGGUUUUAUAGAGGAACUCCAGCAGAAAUUUAUGGUCGCAAAUUUGAAAAAAUAUCUUAAAAAUUUAAUCAUGAUUUCCGCCGAGCACGGUACGAAAAUCUUUCAUCAAAAACUCAUCCAAAAGUUCUGCAAUAUUAUUUCUUAUACUGGUGUAAAUAAGUACGGAUAAUGUAUUAGAAAUAUCUGAAUUUAUUUUAUUAAUUUUCCUCAUUUGUCUAAAAAAACUUCAUGAAUCCAACAAACUCACUUAGAACUUCUUUAGAUUUUUCUCGAAAUUUCACUUAUUUUUUAGAAAUUUUGUAUUAACGAUAUUUUUUAAAGCUCCAUACAACUUUUGAAUAUUUGUACAGAUUUUCUUGCUAUACUCUACCUGAUACUUCUAGCAUUGAUUGAAUUUAUUUUGUAUCGUAAAAUAAGAUUACAGAAUGUCUAGCAGAUUAUGUUUCGAAAUUUUUCUAAAAUUAUUUCAAAAACUAGGAACUGCAGCAUGAAUUCCGUAUGAAGGGCUUUUAGAAGAUUGAUUACAUCUUCGUUACAUACGUUCUCAUCUUGAUACAGUUGAAAUUAUUCAAAUGCUUUUCAACAUUUUCAGAAAUCUGUCUAGAAUUUUCUAAUGUUUUGUGGCUUCUCAGUCUUGACAAAAUCAAAACACUGUUAUGUUAUUUUGUCUAACAUAACAGGAUUUUGAUUUUGUCAAGACUGGGAAGCCACAAAACAUUAGUUUCCAAAUACAGUCCAACACACCAACGAUAUAGAAUUUUCUAGUCAACCAGUAUAAAAGAGAAGAUCUUUUCUGUUUUAUUGUGUGUUUAUCUACUUAAGUCUCAAACAAUUUGCAAUUAUUUUGGUACGUCUUUGAUAAACUCGUCACUAGAUUCUUUCCAUAUUCUUACCGAAAUUUUGGAUGGUUUCUAUAUUGCCGACUUUUUUGGAUCUAUGAAGGAUUUCUUACGCAAAAAAUCAGCUUUUUUCGGAGUUUACCCCACAUAUCAUCAUCAAACAAUUCAACUUGCAUAUAAUUAUAUCUGGUACGCAUCAUUGAUGACAUUCCGGGAUUGUUAUUAUCAAACAAAGUUUUCUCCAGAAAUUUAAUAAAAUCAUCAGGGGUCUGUACAACAAAUUUCCGGACAUCUCUCUCAAGACUGAAUCCAUAAAUAAAUGGGUAAUUCUCGCUGAGACCGGCCCACUAUUUACACCUUGUCUUCAAAAAGGGUCUGGUACGUUUGGCAUAAGGCCGUUUGGCAUAAUGCCAUUUGGCAUAAGGACGUUUGGCAUAAAGGACAUUUGGCAUAAGGGACGUUUGGCAUAAAGGACGUUUGGCAUAAAGAAUAUGUGAAAUAUAUUUUCCCUCUGGAGAAAAAUUAAAGAACAGCCUUCAGUGGAAAGAAGGCAAACUUGUUAGUGGUGCAUUACAUUGGAUUUCUUAUUUUCGAAAUAACCUUUUGCUUCCAAGAAUUGGAUUUUUUUUCCGGAGGGGGAAUAUUCCUUCUUUUGUAUAUAGGCUGUUCUUUAUCGAUACAAGCAAUUUGGAUCCUGGUAAUUAUUCUUUCCAGCAAAUCAUCCUUGUCUGCAUAAUAUAACCAGAAAAAAUAAUGAAUAAUAAUAUAUUAUCCUUUUUAAAAAUAAUUUUCGUUCUUUGACGAUAAAUUUGUAGUUCAUUUUUACUGAAAUCAUUUUAUGCCAAACGUCCUUUAUGCCAAAUGUCCAUUAUGCCAAACGUCCUUUAUGCCAAAUGUCCUUUAUGCCAAGUGUCCUUUAUGCCAAACGUCCUUAUGCCAAAUGGCAUUAUGCCAAACGGCCUUAUGCCAAACGUACCAGACCCCUUCAAAAAUGUUUAAGUUGCCGAUUUUCUGAAAACCCUCGCUAAAAAGUAAGAAAAAUGCAUUUGGUUACUCAAACUGAUGGACCCCCCGUUAGUUUGAGCCACAACAAUUUUUGCAGACCCCACGAUUUUGGUCAAAUGGUGGCUCACUUAAACCGUUAUAACUCGAAAGUUUCCCCAAAAACCACCUCAAAACGAAUUGUUGUUGAAAAGAGGAAAGAUAGAGCUACUAUUUACAAUAAUAAAAAGUUGGAUCGGCCAUAUUGAUUUUGGCCGCCAUCUUGGAUUUUUAUACCAAAACAUUUUUUUCACCAUGAGGGCAACCACCGAUUUUCAAAAUUUUUGCAUCAAUUGAAAGUUGAGACAUUUAUACAUAACAUAUCAACAAAUUAGAGAUGUCUUUUUCUUCUUUCAAAAGUUAUCUACCGUUUUGUAAAUCAUGCCACAUUUGCGCACUGGGCCCGGUGCCAGCCGUUUUCUUAAAUGCAGCGUUAUUUCGCAGUAUUUACGAACACAAAUUUAAAUUCUGAGUCCACUAAUGGAAAGCUGAAGGUUUAAGCUUUUCAAAACACUAUAAAAGUUAUAAAAGCAAUGCCCGCAUCAUUGAGAAACAGUCAAAAACGGAAACGAACCUCCGAUUGGGCCAAAUUUUGCGGCACGCGCCUUUGUGUAUACAUGCAGGCGUAAACUCGGAUGCUGUUGCAUGUCAUAUAUGGAAAUAUAUGGGGAAAACGUGGCUUAAUUUACAAAACUGCGGAUAACUUUUGAUAGGAAAAAAGACAUCUCUAAUGUUUCGAUAUGUUAUGUAUACCUGUCUUAACUUUCAAUUGAUGCAAACAUUUUGAAAAUCGGUGGUUGCCAUCAUGGUGAAAAAAAUGUUAUGGUAUAAAAAUCCAAGAUGGCGGCCAAAAUCAAUAUGGCCGACCCAACUUUUUAUUAUUGUUAAAAGUAGCUCUAUCUUUCCUCUUGUCAACAACAAUUCUUUUUGAGGUGUUUUUUAGAGAAACUUUCGAGUUAUAACGGUUUAAAUGAGCCACCAUUUGACCAAAAUCGAGGGGUCUGCUGUGGCUCUAACUAACGGGGGGUUCAUCAAUUUGAGUAACCAAAUGCAUUUUUCUUACUUUUUUAGCGAGGGCUUUCAGAAAACCGGCACCUUAAACAUUUUUGAAGACAAUGUGUAAAUAGUGGGCCGGUCUCAGCGGGAGUUACCCAAAUUCAUUAGAACCCAUCAGGUGUCUCAAAAGAACGUUAUCCCCAAAGAAUGGGCCUUUUAAUUUUAAGCUUAUUUGCUCUACAAUGGACUUGUAAAGGUGACAUAAAAUAAGGCCUAACAAUAAAAUUCAGAACACUCUUACGUUAACAAAAUCUGUAGUACAAAACUCAGGUUUAAGAUCAUGCAUUGAUUUGAUCGUUAGUCAGGUUCAUGGAUUCAACAGUUUAAAGAAACAAUACAGCCAUUUUUUUUUAAAUUCCAUAACUGUAGGAACUUGUAGGGCUCAAAUACAUCGUUUUAUGAUUAUCGUGAUAAAUUUUCCCUGACCAUCAACGAAAUUCCCUGACUUUCCAGGUCCACAAAUAAAUUCCCUGACAUUCCCUGUUUUUCCAGAUUUUUCCAGGUAGUCGACACCCUGUUCACGAUCAGAAUUUUACUAUUGUCCUCUGCUGCCGGUGGAAGCAUAAUUUUCACAUGUACAUUUUUGGCAAUAUUGAGAUUUUGCAGCCCAUGACCAUGUAUCAUGGUGUAUUAUAAUAUAGGGAAAUAGAAAUCGGUAAUUUGUUCCGAAAACUGUUGAAAAAAUGCUACGCCGAUUUGUCUCAUUCUGAAAAGUGGACGCAUAAGUGUCACGUUUCAUUGGAAAUCCUAUGAAAUUUUUAUAAAUCGCUCUAAAACAAAAAUUAGUGCUCAAAUUCAAAAUUGGUUGAUGUUAGAACACGAUUCGGCAUUUAUGCUUCAUAGUUGAGACAAUUUACUUUUUCGAACUUUGGACGUGAUUUUCUCGAUUGUCGGUUUUUGCACAUGUGACAUAUAUGCGUUCACCGGCAGUCUGAGUAUGCUGAACUUUUCCUCCUUUGCUGUCCACGUAUAUUUCUAGCGAACCCUGCUGUUGGUGUUAUUCUGGUGAUCAAUGCCGGAUGCUGUUUCUCCUUCUAGUAUUCUUUUCAGCUCUAAUACGAUCUCCAUUAAAAGUUGGUCCGCAUCUAUCUUCGUUCUCUCCUUUGGUUUCCACGGGGGCUACGGGGGUCAUCCAAUCAUUCCCGAAGCAGAACCGUUUGAUAUUCUCAUAAACCUCUCAAAUUUGGUAGCCUUGUAUGGAUUUCCGUUUUGGACAACUGAAAUGAACUGACCUUCCGGUCUUUUCUAUGAGCUUCUUACGACACUAAUUUGGAAAAACGGAGAACAACAUUUCGCCCAUGUAUCGAUAAGUUGAUUAUUGAAACUUGUUAUACGUUCCCCUGGAGUAGUUUUUGGAAUCAAAAUUAACAGAAGAACAGUGUACAACUUUGUCCCAAGAAUAAGGAUUUCGGCAUUCAAGAAAGCGCCAACGAACAACCAACCGCUUUCGAUUCGAUGUAUAUAUUAUUCCUAUCGUGUAAAACAUGUAGCAAAAACACUAUUUAUAAUUACGUUUCAUAAUUCGUUCUAGUCGUCCUAGUAGAUUCAUAAUCGUUACUGAACUCGAAUUUUUCAACAAACACGAUCCGGGAAAAUUAUAUUUUGUAAGUAGCAAAGAAGCAUGUAGUAUAAAAUGUGUUCGUGGAGGUGUUUCACCAAUCAACAGUUUAAGUGAAUGAAUGUGUAACAUAAUAAAUUAAAAAAUUUAAAAGAACGAAUAGAAGCAACCAGAGUUAGACGAUCUUCACAGUUUGGCCCGGUUUUGUAAAUGUGAGUUGUAUAUAGCCAACAUUGUCUAAGGUUUAUCCUGUAUGCUACAUUACCACAUCUCCAAUCAGAUUGAAAUUGCUUAGAAGCGCACGUAGUGAUGAUAACCGUUCAUAUAGAAGUAAA
Aedes albopictus (Asian tiger mosquito) is the source of this 8128-nucleotide long non-coding RNA. RefSeq lists it as uncharacterized. The transcript has 2 exons. The record is from RefSeq and is a predicted model, not a curated record. NCBI's taxonomy places the organism in Eukaryota, Metazoa, Arthropoda, Insecta, Diptera, Culicidae.